UACGUAGGGGGCAAGCGUUGUCCGGAUUUAUUGGGCGUAAAGAGCGUGUAGGCGGCCAUGUAGGUCCGUUGUGAAAACUCGAGGCUCAACCUCGAGACGCCGAUGGAAACCAUGUGGCUAGAGUCCGGAAGAGGAGAGUGGAAUUCCUGGUGUAGCGGUGAAAUGCGCAGAUAUCAGGAAGAACACCCGUGGCUAAGGCGGCUCUCUAGUACGGUACUGACGCUGAGACGGCGAAAGCGUGGGGAGCGAACAGG
This 254-nucleotide ribosomal RNA is filed under the name uncultured bacterium. RNAcentral's name for it is "partial 16S ribosomal RNA". It matches the Rfam family "Bacterial small subunit ribosomal RNA", at positions 524 to 776 of the family's 1533-position model. The record is from RNAcentral.